GCACUGCUGAGGAGUCCCACAAUUGGACGAAACGGCCGCCCAGUGC
Molecule: non-coding RNA, 46 nt
Filed under: Schistosoma curassoni
Lineage: Eukaryota; Metazoa; Platyhelminthes; Trematoda; Strigeidida; Schistosomatidae
Source: RNAcentral